UAGGGAAUCUUCGGCAAUGGGGGUAACCCUGACCGAGCAACGCCGCGUGAGUGAAGAAGGUUUUCGGAUCGUAAAGCUCUGUUGUUAAGGAAGAACGAGUGUGAGAAUGGAAAGUUCAUGCUGUGACGGUACUUAACCAGAAAGGGACGGCUAACUACGUGCCAGCAGCCGCGGUAAUACGUAGGUCCCGAGCGUUGUCCGGAUUUAUUUGGCGUAAAGCGUGCGCAGGCGGUUAGAAAAGUCUGAAGUGAAAGGCAGUGGCUCAACCAUUGUAGGCUUUGGAAACUGUUUAACUGGAGUGCAGAAGGGGAGAGUGGAAUUCCAUGUGUAGCGGUGAAAUGCGUAGAUAUAUGGAGGAACACCGGUGGCGAAAGCGGCUCUCUGGUCUGUAACUGACGCUGAGGCUCGAAAGCGUGGGGAGCGAACAGG
This 429-nucleotide ribosomal RNA is filed under the name Verrucomicrobiota bacterium. RNAcentral describes it as "Verrucomicrobia bacterium partial 16S ribosomal RNA". It matches the Rfam family "Bacterial small subunit ribosomal RNA", at positions 355 to 776 of the family's 1533-position model. Lineage: Bacteria; Pseudomonadati; Verrucomicrobiota. The record is from RNAcentral.